AUUGAACGCUAGCGGGAUGCCUUACACAUGCAAGUCGAACGGAGUGGCGAACGGGUGAGUAAUGUAUCGGAACGUGCCCAGUAGCGGGGGAUAACUACGCGAAAGCGUCGCUAAUACCGCAUACUUUUGGAGCGGCGGAUAUCGGAUUAGCUAGUUGGUGGGUGGGCGGCUCACCAGUGCGACGAUGCGUGGCUGGUUUGAGAGGACGACCAGCCACACUGGGACUGUGGCACUGCGUAACUGCCUACGGUAGGCAGGAGUGGAGCAUUUGGGGCAAUGGGGGAAUCCGUGAUCGAGCGAUCCCGCGUGGGCGCGUGAGGGAUGCAGGUUUUCGAGCUCUAUUGCCAGUAAAGCGGUACCUGGAGAAUAAGCACCGGCUAACUACGUGCCAGCCGCCGCGGUAAUUC
This 407-nucleotide ribosomal RNA is filed under the name uncultured bacterium. RNAcentral describes it as "partial 16S ribosomal RNA". It matches the Rfam family "Bacterial small subunit ribosomal RNA", at positions 30 to 526 of the family's 1533-position model. The record is from RNAcentral.